This 762-nucleotide ribosomal RNA is filed under the name Triticum aestivum (bread wheat). RNAcentral's name for it is "partial small subunit ribosomal RNA". Lineage: Eukaryota; Viridiplantae; Streptophyta; Magnoliopsida; Poales; Poaceae. The record is from RNAcentral.
AUGGGCCGCAAGUUCUUCGUCGGCGGCAACUGGAAAUGCAAUGGAACUGUGGAACAGGUAGAGAGUAUCGUCAACACUCUGAACGCUGGACAGAUCGCCUCUACGGAUGUUGUCGAGGUUGUCGUCAGCCCGCCCUAUGUCUUCCUUCCCACCGUCAAGGGUAAGCUGCGCCCAGAGAUCCAAGUCGCUGCUCAGAACUGCUGGGUGAAGAAGGGCGGUGCUUUCACCGGUGAAGUCAGUGCUGAGAUGCUUGUCAACCUCGGCGUUCCCUGGGUCAUCCUUGGACACUCUGAAAGGAGGAGCUUGAUGGGAGAAUCAAGCGAGUUUGUUGGAGAGAAGGUUGCAUAUGCACUUGCUCAGGGCUUGAAGGUCAUUGCAUGUGUUGGUGAGACUCUCGAGCAGCGAGAAGCUGGAUCAACCAUGGCAGUUGUCGCUGAACAGACAAAAGCAAUUGCUGGCAAGAUCAAGGACUGGACCAAUGUGGUUGUCGCUUACGAACCAGUGUGGGCCAUUGGCACCGGUAAAGUUGCGACACCGGCUCAGGCGCAGGAAGUCCAUGCCAAUCUGAGGGACUGGCUCAAGACCAAUGUGAGCCCCGAGGUUGCUGAAUCCACGAGGAUCAUCUAUGGAGGAUCUGUAACUGGCGCAAGCUGCAAGGAGUUGGCAGGGCAGCCCGACGUUGAUGGUUUCCUCGUUGGUGGAGCUUCUUUGAAGCCUGAGUUCAUUGACAUCAUCAACGCCGCCACCGUGAAGUCCGCCUAA